AAUACUUUUUAUAUGCCCGAAAGGGCAUAUUAUGUUAUACCCCCUGGCGUCCGUCUGUCUGUCUGUCUGUCCGUCCGUCCGUCCGUACGUCCGUCCGUCCGUUAGCAAUUUGGUUUCCGGAGCAUAACUUAAGUUCCAUUUGGCCCACAAUGUUCAAACUUCAUAGGAUGAUUGUCCAUAUUGGGUAGAAGACCCAUAUUGAUUUUGGGGUCAAAAGGUCAAAGGUCAAGGUCACUAUGACCUUAAAACUGAAAACAGUUUUCGGAGCAUAACUUAAGUUCCAUUCGACCCACAAUGUUCAAACUUCAUAGGAUGAUUGUCCAUAUUGGGUAGAAGACCCCUAUUGAUUUUGGGGUCACAAGGUCAAAGGUCAAGGUCACUAACACUUUGAUACUGAAAACAGUUUCCGGAGCAUAACUUAAGUUCCAAUUGGCCCACAAUCUUCAAACUUCAUAGGAUGAUUGUCCAUGUUGGGUAGAAGACCCCUAUUGAUUUUGGGGUCAAAAGGUCAAGGGUCAAGAUCACUAUAUCCUUAAUACUGAAAACAGUUUCCGGAGCAUAGUUCCAUUUGGCCCACAAUAUUCAAACUUCAUACGAUGAUUGUCCAUAUUGGGCAAAAGACCCCUAUUGAUUUUGGGGUCACUAGGUCAAUGGUCAAGGUCACAAUUACCUUUAAACCAAAAACAGUUUCCGGAGCAUAACAUAAGUUCCAUUUGGCUCACUUUAUUCAAACUUCAUAGGAUGAUUGUCCAUAUUGGGUAGAAGACCCCUAUUGAUUUUGGGGUCACAAGGUCAAAGUCACUUUUACCUUAAUACUGAAAACAGUUUCUAGAGCAUAAUUAAAGUUCCAAUUGGCCCACAAAAUUCAAACUUCUUAGGAUGAUUGUCCAUAUAAGGUAGAAAACCCCUAUUGAUUUUGGGGUCACAAGGUCAAAGGUUAAGGUCAUUAUUAAUAACUAUUAA
Molecule: long non-coding RNA, 963 nt
Organism: Ruditapes philippinarum (Manila clam)
Lineage: Eukaryota; Metazoa; Mollusca; Bivalvia; Venerida; Veneridae
Exons: 2
Source: RefSeq, a predicted model, not a curated record